Molecule: transfer RNA, 76 nt
Filed under: Pseudomonas aeruginosa
Lineage: Bacteria; Pseudomonadati; Pseudomonadota; Gammaproteobacteria; Pseudomonadales; Pseudomonadaceae
Description: tRNA-His
Rfam family: tRNA
About the family: Transfer RNA (tRNA) molecules are approximately 80 nucleotides in length.
Source: RNAcentral
GUGGGCGUAGCUCAGUUGGUAGAGCACAGGAUUGUGGCUCCUUGUGUCGUGGGUUCGAUUCACAUCGUCCCCCCCA